This 253-nucleotide ribosomal RNA is filed under the name uncultured bacterium. Its description in RNAcentral is "partial 16S ribosomal RNA". It matches the Rfam family "Bacterial small subunit ribosomal RNA", at positions 524 to 776 of the family's 1533-position model. The record is from RNAcentral.
UACGGAGGGGGCUAGCGUUGUUCGGAAUUACUGGGCGUAAAGCGCGCGUAGGCGGACCUGCAAGUCAGGGGUGAAAUCCUGGAGCUCAACUCCAGAACUGCCUUUGAUACUGGGAAUCUCGAGUCCGGGAGAGGUGAGUGGAACUGCGAGUGUAGAGGUGAAAUUCGUAGAUAUUCGCAAGAACACCAGUGGCGAAGGCGGCUCACUGGCCCGGUACUGACGCUGAGGUGCGAAAGCGUGGGGAGCAAACAGG